AUGCGGAGGGUGCAAGCGUUAUUCGGAAUCACUGGGCGUAAAGGGUGCGUAGGCGGUUUGAUAAGUCUGAUGUGAAAUCCUAUGGCUCAACCAUAGAACUGCAUUGGAAACUGUCAGACUAGAAUACUGAAGGGGCAGAUGGAAUUAGUGGUGUAGGGGUAAAAUCCGUAGAUAUCACUAAGAAUACCGAAAGCGAAAGCGAUCUGCUGGGAAGUUAUUGACGCUGAGGCACGAAAGCGUGGGGAGCAAACGGGAUUAGAAACCCUUGUAGUCC
RNAcentral lists this ribosomal RNA (274 nucleotides) under uncultured bacterium. RNAcentral describes it as "partial 16S ribosomal RNA". It matches the Rfam family "Bacterial small subunit ribosomal RNA", at positions 523 to 796 of the family's 1533-position model. The record is from RNAcentral.